Molecule: ribosomal RNA, 623 nt
Filed under: uncultured bacterium
Lineage: Bacteria
Description: bacterial SSU rRNA
Rfam family: Bacterial small subunit ribosomal RNA
Source: RNAcentral
GGGUAAUGGCCUACCAAGGUUAUGAUGGUUAGCUGGUCUGAGAGGAUGAUCAGCCACACUGGAACUGAAACACGGUCCAGACUCCUACGGGAGGCAGCAGUGAGGAAUAUUGCGCAAUGGGGGCAACCCUGACGCAGCAACGCCGCGUGAGUGAGGAAGGUUUUCGGAUUGUAAAGCUCUGUCGAGCGGAAAGAAGUGCAUGAUGGCUAAUAUCCACCAUGCUUGACGGUACCGCUAAAGGAAGCACCGGCUAACUCCGUGCCAGCAGCCGCGGUAAUACGGGGGGUGCAAGCGUCGUUCGGAAUUAUUGGGCGUAAAGAGCGUGUAGGCGGCUUGACAAGUCAGAUGUGAAAUCCCUGGGCUUAACCUAGGAAGUGCAUUUGAAACUGUCAGGCUUGAGUAAGGGAGAGGAAAGUGGAAUUCCUGGUGUAGAGGUGAAAUUCGUAGAUAUCAGGAGGAACACCGGUGGCGAAGGCGACUUUCUGGCCCUAUACUGACGCUGAGACGCGAAAGCGUGGGUAGCAAACAGGAUUAGAUACCCUGGUAGUCCACGCUGUAAACGAUGUUCACUAGGUGUUGGGGGUAUUGACCCUUUCAGUGCCGCAGCUAACGCAUUAAGUGAA